Molecule: microRNA, 19 nt
Filed under: Gadus morhua (Atlantic cod)
Lineage: Eukaryota; Metazoa; Chordata; Actinopteri; Gadiformes; Gadidae
Description: gmo-miR-103-5p
Gene: gmo-miR-103-5p
Source: miRBase by way of RNAcentral
AGCCUCUUUACGGUGCUGC